RNAcentral lists this ribosomal RNA (508 nucleotides) under uncultured bacterium. RNAcentral's name for it is "bacterial SSU rRNA". It matches the Rfam family "Bacterial small subunit ribosomal RNA", at positions 30 to 518 of the family's 1533-position model. The record is from RNAcentral.
CGAACGCUGGCGGCGUGCUUAACACAUGCAAGUCGAACGCGAAAGGGACUUCGGUCCUGAGUAAAGUGGCGCACGGGUGAGUAACGCGUAGAUAACCUGUCUUCAUGUCUGGAAUAAUACGCCGAAAGGGGUACUAAUACCGGAUAUCUUGCUUUUCAUAAGUUAUGCAAGCAAAGGUGGCCUCUGCAUAUGCUACUGCAUGAAGAGGGGUCUGCGUACCAUUAGCUAGUAGGUGGGGUAAUGGCCUACCUAGGCGACGAUGGUUAGCGGGUCUGAGAGGAUGAUCCGCCACACUGGCACUGGAACACGGGCCAGACUCCUACGGGAGGCAGCAGUGAGGAAUAUUGCGCAAUGGGGGAAACCCUGACGCAGCGACGCCGCGUGAGUGAGGAAGGCCCUUCGGGUCGUAAAGCUCUGUCAAGAGGAAAGAAGUGUACAAUGGCUAAUAUCUGUUGUAUUUGACGGUACCUCUAAAGGAAGCACCGGCUAACUCCGUGCCAGCAGCAGC